This 77-nucleotide transfer RNA is filed under the name Candidatus Bathyarchaeota archaeon. RNAcentral describes it as "tRNA-Trp". It matches the Rfam family "tRNA". From Rfam's summary of the family: Transfer RNA (tRNA) molecules are approximately 80 nucleotides in length. The record is from RNAcentral. Lineage: Archaea; Thermoproteati; Candidatus Bathyarchaeota. RNAcentral also lists the same sequence under 1 other name.
GGGGCCGUAGUCUAGCUAGGGAUGACGACGGGCUCCAGACCCGUAGGUCGUCGGUUCAACUCCGGCCGGCCCCACCA